This 740-nucleotide small RNA is filed under the name Pongo abelii (Sumatran orangutan). RNAcentral's name for it is "processed transcript". Lineage: Eukaryota; Metazoa; Chordata; Mammalia; Primates; Hominidae. The record is from RNAcentral.
CGGCCUCCUUUUAGCUGCCAUCUUGCGUCCCCGCGUGUGUGCGCCUAAUCUCAGCUGGUCCACCCGAGACCCCUUGAGCACCAACCCUAGUCCCCCGCGCGGCCCCUUAUUCGCUCCGACAAGGGAACUGCUCGCAGAAAGAAGAAGGUGGUUCAUAGAACAGCCACAGCAGAUGACAAAAAACUUCAGUUCUCCUUAAAGAAGUUAGGGGUAAACAAUAUCUCUGGUAUUGAAGAGGUGAAUAUGUUUACAAACCAAGGAACAGUGAUCCACUUUAACAACCCUAAAGUUCAGGCAUCUCUGGCAGCGAACACUUUCACCAUUACAGGCCAUGCUGAGACGAAGCAGCUGACAGAAAUGCUACCCAGCAUCUUAAACCAGCUUGGUGCGGAUAGUCUGACUAGUUUAAGGAGACUGGCCGAAGCUCUGCCCAAACAAUCUGUGGAUGGAAAAGCACCACUUGCUACUGGAGAGGAUGAUGAUGAUGAAGUUCCAGAUCUUGUGGAGAAUUUUGAUGAGGCUUCCAAGAAUGAGGCAAACUGAAUUGAGUCAACUUCUGAAGAUAAAACUUGAAGAAGUUACUGGGAGCUGCUAUUUUAUAUUAUGACUGCUUUUUAAGAAAUUUUUGUUUAUGGAUCUGAUAAAAUCUAGAUCUCUAAUAUUUUUAAGCCCAAGCCCCUUGGACACUGCAGCUCUUUUCAGUUUUUGCUUAUACACAAUUCAUUCUUUGCAGCUAAUUA